RNAcentral lists this ribosomal RNA (229 nucleotides) under uncultured bacterium. Its description in RNAcentral is "partial 16S ribosomal RNA". It matches the Rfam family "Bacterial small subunit ribosomal RNA", at positions 524 to 751 of the family's 1533-position model. The record is from RNAcentral.
UACAGAGGUCCCGAGCGUUUGUUCGGAUUCACUGGGCGUAAAGGGUGCGCAGGUGGGUUGGCAAGUUUGAUGUGAAAGCCCCGGGCUUAACCCGGGAAUGGCAUUGAAUACUGCUGAUCUGGAGGAUCGGAGGGGGGACUGGAAUUCUUGGUGUAGCAGUGAAAUGCGUAGAUAUCAAGAGGAACACCAGUGGCGAAGGCGAGUCCCUGGACGAUACCUGACACUGAGG